Molecule: ribosomal RNA, 244 nt
Filed under: uncultured bacterium
Lineage: Bacteria
Description: partial small subunit ribosomal RNA
Rfam family: Bacterial small subunit ribosomal RNA
Source: RNAcentral
AGGAUGAACGCUGGCGGCGUGCCUAACACAUGCAAGUCGCACGAGAAAGUGGAGCAAUCCACGAGUAAAGUGGCGCACGGGUGAGUAACACGUGAAUAAUCUACCUCCGAGUGGGGAAUAACUGAGAGAAAUCUUAGCUAAUACCGCAUAAUACCCACGGGUCAAAGCAGCAAUGCGCUUGGAGAGGAGUUCGCGGCCGAUUAGCUAGUUGGCGGGUAAUGGCCCACCAAGGCGAUGAUCGGUA